Molecule: ribosomal RNA, 440 nt
Filed under: uncultured bacterium
Lineage: Bacteria
Description: partial 16S ribosomal RNA
Rfam family: Bacterial small subunit ribosomal RNA
Source: RNAcentral
CCUACGGGUGGCAGCAGUGGGGAAUAUUGCACAAUGGGGGAAACCCUGAUGCAGCGACGCCGCGUGAGUGAAGAAGUACUUCUUUAUGUAAAGCUCUAUCUGCAGGGGAGAAAAUUACUGUACCUGAGUAAUUAUCCCCGUCUAACUACGUUCCAGCAGCCGCGGUAAUACGUAGGGGGCAAGCGUUAUCCGGAUUUACUGGGUGUAAAGGGAGCGUAGACGGAAGUGCAAGUCUGUAGUGAAAGGCGGGGGCUCAACCCCCGGACUGCAGUGGAAACUGUACGGCUGGAGUGCAGGAGAGGUAAGUGGAAUUCCUAGUGUAGCGGUGAAAUGCGUAGAUAUUAGGAGGAACACCAGUGGCGAAGGCGGCUUACUGGACUGUAACUGACGCUGAGGCUCGAAAGCGUGGGGAGCAAACAGGAUUAGAUACCCGGGUAGUC